Molecule: ribosomal RNA, 472 nt
Filed under: uncultured bacterium
Lineage: Bacteria
Description: SSU rRNA
Rfam family: Bacterial small subunit ribosomal RNA
Source: RNAcentral
AGGACGAACGCUGGCGGCGUGCUUAACACAUGCAAGUCGAGCGGAAAGGCCCUUCGGGGUACUCGAGCGGCGAACGGGUGAGUAAUACGUGAGCAACCUGCCCUUAGCUCUGGGAUAGCUCCGGGAAACCGGAAUUAAUACCGGAUAUGACCUAGGCCGACAUCGGCCGUGGUGGAAAGUUUUUCGGCUAGGGAUGGACUCGCGGCCUAUCAGCUAGUUGGUGGGGUAAUGGCCUACCAAGGCGACGACGGGUAGCCGGCCUGAGAGGGCGACCGGCCACACUGGGACUGAGACACGGCCCAGACUCCUACGGGAGGCAGCAGUGGGGAAUCUUGCGCAAUGGGCGAAAGCCUGACGCAGCGACGCCGCGUGGGGGAUGAAGGCCUUCGGGUUGUAAACCCUUCAGCAGGGACGAAGCGAAAGUGACGGUACCUGCAGAAGAAGCGCCGGCUAACUACGCGCCAGCAGCCGC